UCGGCAAUGGAUAUCUUGGCUCUCGCAUCGAUGAAGAGCGCAGCGAAAUGCGAUACGUGGUGCGAAUUGCAGAAUCCCGUGAACCAUCGAGUUUUUGAACGCAAGUUGCGCCCGAGGCCUGCUGGCUAAGGGCACGUCCGCCUGGGCGUCAAG
Molecule: ribosomal RNA, 153 nt
Filed under: Hemipilia thailandica
Lineage: Eukaryota; Viridiplantae; Streptophyta; Magnoliopsida; Asparagales; Orchidaceae
Description: Ponerorchis thailandica 5.8S ribosomal RNA
Rfam family: 5.8S ribosomal RNA
About the family: 5.8S ribosomal RNA (5.8S rRNA) is a component of the large subunit of the eukaryotic ribosome. It is transcribed by RNA polymerase I as part of the 45S precursor that also contains 18S and 28S rRNA.
Source: RNAcentral